This 222-nucleotide long non-coding RNA is filed under the name Mustela putorius furo (domestic ferret). Its description in RNAcentral is "lncRNA (ENSMPUG00000031464.1)". The record is from RNAcentral. Lineage: Eukaryota; Metazoa; Chordata; Mammalia; Carnivora; Mustelidae.
GGUCCCUAACACUCCUGUUGGUUUAGUGGGGAUGCGUGGAUGGACAGAUCCCAGGGAGGACCCUUGAGAGUAGUUUGUGUGAUUUCUUCUGCGGAAAGUGACGACAGGAAGUGUGUCUUUCUUUUGAACUUCAGAGACGUGACUAUCAUGGGCGGACCCCUGAGGAUGCUUAUCAGAGGUAACAUGGUCAAAUUGCAAAUGGAGUAGGAAUCCCAUAAAAAU